Molecule: RNA transcript, 1441 nt
Organism: Durio zibethinus
Lineage: Eukaryota; Viridiplantae; Streptophyta; Magnoliopsida; Malvales; Malvaceae
Gene name: transcription factor bHLH162-like
Source: RefSeq, a predicted model, not a curated record
UGUGGGUAUAUAAACCAACAUAAGACAGCUUAUUCGGCUACACCAAUGGAUCUUCAAAUGGAAUACUUAGUUCAUAAUUUGGGUAUGAAUAAGGGAAUGAAGAGGUCUCGUUGUUCUUCAGCUAAGGUUGAGAGGAAGAUCAUUGAGAAGAACAGGAGAAAUCAUACGAAGAAUUUGUUCUCCAUACUCAAUUCUCUACUUCCCCAUCAUGAUUCUAAGGAGCCAUUAUCACUACCUGAUCAAAUAGAUGAAGCUGUGAAUUACAUAAAGUGCCUACAAACAAGGUUGAAGGAAUCCAGCGAGAAAAAGGAAAGUCUAAUGGGAAGAAGGAGAUCUUAUAGAUGUAUUGCAGCGGAAACCAUGGCCAGCUUGAGAUCUCCUGAAAUUAGGAUUAACGAAAAGGGUUCUGCUAUGGAGGUGGUUAUGAUGACAGGGCCAGACGGUCAGUUCAUGUUUUAUGAGAUCAUCCGCAUACUUCAUGAAGAAGGAGCAGAAGUACUACACGCCAAUUUCUCGGUUGUUGGGAAUACAGUUUUCCACGUUGUUCAUGCUGAGAUUGGAGAAUUUGGUGCAGCAAAAAUAUUAAAGGAGAAACUAAACAAGUUUGUGAAUGGAUCCAGCAGCGAACAGGAGCUUCGACAAGAGCUAUGGGACGAUGAAAUCCAUCCUGAUAUGUGGGAUUUCCCAAUCAUGUGAUUCAAGGACCGUAGGAGUGAAUUAGAUAGGAAGAGCAGCCUUGAUGUUUUCCAAAGCUGCAUAGCUAGCUAGCUAGGCUGCCUGCUGGUGCAUCAGAAUUUUCUUCCUGUCUGUGUACUAGAGAUCGUGAACCUUACAGUGGAUUUAUGAAGAUACUGAAAUUGCAGAAGGUUGCAUAGAAGAUGCAAUGCCCAUACUAGACAUGGAUCAGAUGAUAGCAGCAGAAAACAGAAAUAAAAUGUAGAAAUUUGAGAAGAAAAGAAAGGGACAGAUUCUCGAAGAUAAGAGGCAAGAGAUCCAAAAGUAGAACCAAGAAGAUCACUCAAGCUCUCCUAAUUUAAUGCCAGGUUCCUCUCCGGGGGUAUCAUAUGUUUGUAAUGCUGAUGAUUAUUGGUUUUAUUAAUGAAAGCUAUUUUGCAACUGUAAAGAAGUUCUUUAAAUUGUAAAACAUGCAUUGAAUAGGAUAGGAAAUACAUUUUUGAACUAAGUACAAUUGACAAUGACAAAGAAAAGCAAACAUUCUAAUCGGAUUAUUGUUUAAGUCGUUUUGUACUUCUCUUUGUGGUAUAGGUUGAUCUUUAAGUUAUUUUGGUGAAGAUACAAUCUCUUGUGCCCUUUUUUGUUCACUUCCAAUUGGAAACAAAAUGAUUGCUCAUACGACGGUUGUCAUGAUAUGGGUUUAGGAGAAAGUGUUUCUUUAGACUCGGUGUCCCAUCAUCAGCAAUAAACAGUUUUUUCAUCUUCA